UACGGGGGGGGCAAGCGUUGUUCGGAAUUACUGGGCGUAAAGGGCUCGUAGGUGGCCAACUAAGUCAGACGUGAAAUCCCUCGGCUUAACCGGGGAACUGCGUCUGAUACUGGAUGGCUUGAGUGUGGGAGAGGGAUGCGGAAUUCCAGGUGUAGCGGUGAAAUGCGUAGAUAUCUGGAGGAACACCGGUGGCGAAGGCGGCAGCCUGGACCAUUACUGACACUAAAAAGCGAAAGCCAGGGGAGCAAACGGG
RNAcentral lists this ribosomal RNA (253 nucleotides) under uncultured bacterium. RNAcentral describes it as "partial 16S ribosomal RNA". It matches the Rfam family "Bacterial small subunit ribosomal RNA", at positions 524 to 776 of the family's 1533-position model. The record is from RNAcentral.